ACGAGUGACCAAACACUCAUCCAAAAGCCAAUUCAAGAACACACUUUAUGAAUGCCGCCAUUGCCAUUGUCAUCAUCACCGGCCUCGCAACCAUGAAUGGCACAAUGAAGCCACCAUUGACCGGAUUGAGAAGUGCAAAUCGGGGAUCCGUAAAGCUUAAAAUCCCAAAAUCUACUUUUACUGAUCUAAUUUCCGAAUCUCAGACACACUCUUUGACUCCCCAGCAACCCUAAAUCCCUAAUUGUCUCUCCGCACUGUUGAUGAUCCAAAGAAAGUUGAGCACUUGCGUUCUCUAUAUGGAGCUAAGGAUCUGCUUCACUUGUUUACUACAAAGCUAUUGGAGGAGGGAUAUUUUGAUACUGUUGUGGAGGGGUGUGAAGGUGUUUUUCGCAUUGCUUCUCCCUUCUACCAUGAUGUUAAAGACCUAGAGGUUGAAUAGCUUGAUCCUGCUUUGAAGGGAACACUUAAUGUUCUCAAUGCCUGUGCAAAAGUCCCAUUAAUAAAAGGAGUGGUGCUGACAUCUUCAAUUGCAGCAGUUGUAAUGGAAAACCUCGAACUCCGGAAGUGGUUGUUGAUGAAACCAGGUUUUCUGAUCCAAAUCUCUGUAGGGAAACAAAGCUCUAGCUGGAACUUGGAAGUAGUUAAAGAAAACUGACAUGAGGCUCGGUGAAGGUUAUAUCAGGGCAAGAGAGCAAACCAGAAAGAUCAUGCUCCAUGUAUUCGAACACAAGGUCCUGAGUUCAUGACUAGUUGAUGCAAUCAGAUGAUUUUGAUGGAUCAUUUCUUCAUGGGACAGUGAAAGUACAGCUGAUGGGCCAUAUGAUGGUUAUAAUCACAAAGAUGUAGAGGAGGACAUAGCUGUAACUGCUGCUGUAGUUGUUGCUGUCACUGUUGUUACCGCUGCUGCCUGCUUCUGUUACUGCUGUUGUCGGCUGUUACUGCUCUCUGUUUACUUGCUACUGUUCGUUGCUUCCUGUUUGCUAGGGCACUGAGUGUUAUUUUUUUUUUUAAUUUUUUUUUUCUGUUUUGAAAUUUGGUGGUCUAAAGACCGGAGUUGACCGUAGUUGAUUUUCUUUUUGUUUUCAUUAUUAGAUUGUUUAGCAAACAAAAAAUAUUCGUGUUUGUGGAUAUUUUUUUUAAGAAACUAUGAAAUCAUAUCAAUUCAAAUUAUUGUGUAUCGUAUAUGUUUCA
Spinacia oleracea (spinach) is the source of this 1191-nucleotide long non-coding RNA. RefSeq lists it as uncharacterized. The transcript is spliced from 5 exons. NCBI's taxonomy places the organism in Eukaryota, Viridiplantae, Streptophyta, Magnoliopsida, Caryophyllales, Amaranthaceae. The record is from RefSeq and is a predicted model, not a curated record.